UUUCUCAGAAAAUGGGGCACGUACCCUGAUACUCCGAGAGGGGGUCGAGGCUGGAAAUUCAGAUAAAGAAGGAAUAUGUUAGGGGUGUGGUUGAAGCCAUGAGAAAGUACAGAGAGAGAAAAUGCUAAGGACAGACCCUUGGGAAACAGCCACAGCAAGAGGGUAAAGAGAAGCCACUUCCAAAUUAACCCUUUUCCCAAUUUCCUGUCUUCAGAAAGUGUUGGCUUGCGUUGUGGGGAGGAGACGUCUGUUGGAUUGAUCAGAAUUAAGUGACUAACUCUUGGCCACUCUACAUCCCGGCGAAACGGACGACUGAAACAUCGCUGCUCACUGUGCCUGAGAGUGUGUUCCUUCCUCACUGGGGGGCACUCGUCUGCUUUAACCUUGGCCACUAUGUCUCAACUUUGAGAGGAAACCACGGGAGUCAGGAAGGGACAACAACACUCUGCAGAGCUAGACGACCAAAUGGAGCAACACUGGGGACCCGUCAGACAUAGAAGUUGACGCCAGAUGAUUGUCCCAUCCGAACGAAUGAACAAGUGGUUGAAUGAAUAAUGAAUGAAUGCGUCUUACUCAAGGGAACCAUGGGUAUCUAAACAGUGCUUAGCAAAAGGAAAAGCUAAAUCUGCCCAAACAAUGUAAAAACAAUGAGACUUACCUAGGACUCUAGAGAAAGCAGCACAAAUCCCCAUUGGCUGCUCAUUUGCAUACGCCAUGGCAAUUCCCCCCACUCUCCAGAGAGCCAUGUGCCAUUGGAAUUAUCUGACCCAGAUUUGGUGAAAAUGUGUUUUCUUGUGAUUCAUGGGGAUCUGAAAGGUGGAUGGACAGCUUUCUCUGAGAGGAGUGAUUACACCUAUUUAAAAAUCAAUUACAGUUGAACCAUCUGACUUUUUAGUAUAUGAAAACACUACAGCAAACUGAUAAGAGCUCUAUGGCCAUCUAUGGAGACAAUAAAAGUCAAAGUAGCUUGAAAAAAAUUGAAAUAUUAAAAAUGUAUCUUCUUAUAGGUCAGUCAGAAUUUACCAAAGAGUGAGUUAGAGUUAUGAACACUGACCUAGAUUUCCAGAAGCUUGUGAGCAUGUUGCUUUUUCAUGUUGAGUCUUCCUCCUCCCCCAGGAAAUAUUUGUAACCUACUUUUCUAUUUUAACUAUACAGCAUGGUUACCGCUUAAAUAAGCACUUUCAAAUAUUUGAGGGCACGCAUUGUGGAGAAGUUAAUCUGUUGCCUGGAUCUCAUAUAGGCCAAGGGGUAGCUGAGCAAACUCGUGGCCAACUGGAUGUUGGAGCCAAGACUACUGUAUUUUCAUUUCCAAAGAAAAAUGGUUCCAACCGAUCACACUACCCAGAAACAAGCUUCUCAAAAACAGAAGGGUUUUGUUUCAUUAAAUCUUGGUGAUACUCAUUCUUGAAAACUGAAAUAGAAGUAUUUCUAAUUUUCUGCUUGACACUUUUCUUGAGAGAUGAACGGGACCCACGGCUGGAUGGCAUGCCAAGCCCAGCUCUUCAAAGGAACUCUAACCAAAGGGGAGCCCAUGGUUCACAUAGCCAUCCUGCAUUUCCCCUGCACUGACUCCAGGUGACCCACCCAUUUGGAGAGACGCUGUGCUGGCUGGUCUAAAAUGGGCAGAUAUGCCCAGGUGGCGUGUGCAGUGCUUAAGAGACCCAUGGAAGAAAAAGAAAACUCCCUCCCACCUGUGUGUGGCAAAGGCAUUUUUAUGUCAUAAGUUGGGAAAGUGAGGUGGGGAAUGAGAGAGAAAGAGAGCUGGGACAAACAGUACGCUGAGUCCAAGAUUUGGAGCAUUAAACACAAUGCUCAAAGCGUACAAAACAUUUUAUCUUUUUACAAAAUAACCUCAUGGAGAGGAUAUGAAAAUCCCUGUGAUGGUUAGUUUUACAUGUCAACUUGACUGGGCUAAGGGAUGCCCAGAUAGCUGGCAAGAUAUUAUUUCUGGAUGUGACUGUGAGGGUGUUUCCGGGAAACACUAGCAUUUGAAUCAGUAGACUGAGUAAAGAUCACCCUCACCAAUGCAAAUGGGCAUCGUCCAAUCCACUGAAGACCCACAUAGAAAAAAAAUGCAGAGGAAGGACGAAUUUGCUCUCUGCUUCAGCUGGAGCAUUUAUCUUCUCGGCACUUCUGGUUCUCAGGCCUUCGAACUCCGACUGGAACUACACCACCAGCUUUCCUGGGCUUCCAGCUUGCAGACUGCAAGAUCCUGGGACUUCUGUCUCCAUAAUCAUGUGAGCCAAUCCCUCAUAAUACAUCUUUUUCUUUCUUUCUUUUUUUUUUGUGAGGAAGAUUGGCCGCUGCACUAACAUCUGUUGCCAAUCUUCCCCUUUUUGCUUGAGGAAAGUUGUCCCUGAGUUAACAUCCGUGCCAAUCUUCCUCUGUUUUAUGUGGGAUGCUGCCACAGCGUGGCUUGAUGAGUGGUGCUAGGUCUACACACGGGAUCCGAACCUGCAAACCUGGGGCUGCUGAAGUGGAGCACUCGAACUUAACCACUACACCAGCAGGCCAGCCCCAUAAAUCUUUUUCUAUAUAUCUGUAUCUAUAUGUCCAGUCAAUUUCAACUCCUAGUGACCCUGUGUGCAGCAGAGCAGAACCCUGCUUGGUCUUUUUGCGCCAUCCUCUCACCUUCUGGCACUAUAUCAGACAAUGCACCACUACUAUUCACAGGGUUUUCAUGGCCAGUUCUUUUGGACGUUGGUGGCCAGGUCCUUCUUCCUAGUCUGUCUCAGUCUGGAAGCUCCGCUGAAACCUGUCCACCAUGGUUGACCCUGCUGGUAUUUGAAAUACCAGUGGCAUAGCUUUCAGCAUCACAGCAACAUCCAGCCACUGCAGUAUGACCACCGACAGACGGGUGGUGUUGUUCCCUGAACGGGAAAUGAACUCAGGCUGCAGCAGUGAGAGCGCGCCCAUCUUAACCACUAGAUACAACGGCUGCUAUCUAUAUCUGUAUCUACAUCUAUAUCUCCUAUUAGCUCUGUUUCUCUGGAGAACCCUGACUAAGACAAUCCCCAUAUGAAAAAUAAAGCCACUUAAAAACAGAGAGACUAGCUGGCCUCUGGUCAGCACACGACUGGAGAAGCAGGAUUCAGACCUUCUGGCUCAUUUCCAGGGCUCCUCCGAUUACAUAUGGGAGGUGAGGAAUGCUCCACCACAGCAUCACCUGUGCAUACAGAGUUCAGCACAGUUCUCAUGGAUGGACUCACUGGCUGACCACAUACAGAGUGUUGUCUCUCGCAAUGGGCUAGUUUAUGCUGUGUGGACAAACGACCCCCAAAUCUCAAUGGCUUCAAACCACAAAGGUCUAUCACGCCCAUCACAGGUUGGCUGGACCUCCAAAUCCAGGUCUCCUCACUCCAGAACUGACGGAGGAGCCGCCAUCUUGAACACUGCCAGUUGCCUCACGCAACUCAUUGGACGGAACUAGUCACAAGGGGCCACCCAACAAGAAGACCAGGAAGUGCUUCCCUUGGUAGGGGGAGGGGCUGGAAAUAUUGGCAACUGGCUGUAUGGUCACCACAGUGGUUAUUGUGCCAGAGGCUGUAUUAAGCAGCUCACAUUAGGCAUACUUAGCAUUUUUAAUACUCAAGGUAAUUACUGUUAUUAUCCCCAUUUUGCAGGUGAGAAACUGAGUCUUAGAAAGUUAAGGACCUUGCACUAGGUCCUUAUAGUAGAAGGUGACUGCCGAUAGGAGACAAUGUGGACUCUGCCAAACAGCAUGCAGCCUGGGAGUGAGGGAAGACAGGGCGAAAUGAGGCUGCUCCUCUCCCAGGACCACGGUGUCAUGUGGGGAGCCUCCCACCUCCUGACCUGUGCUCAGCCCUCCAGAUCCUGCCUCCACUAUGGGCAGACACCAGAGGCUGAGGUUCCAUUCUGGUUCUCAAAACAACGGAUAUGGAGGCUUCUGGAAAUGGCAGGCCUGCCAAACCAGCAGCCAGGAAUAGCCAUGCAUUCGUUCAGCAAGCAUCUACUGAGUGUAACUCGAGUGGGUUCCAGGGAAUUCAGACCUGCUCGGGGGUGUCUGAUGAAACAGAAUGAUCCUUAGGCCAAUGGAAUUCAAGGUCACCAGUUGAUUAGCAUGGAUCAUUAAGGGAAAGGUGGUGGGCAGGAGUCCACACAGGAGACGGGUGAGGAAAGCAAAGGGGGUUCAUAAUGGCUAAUGUUUCUUGAGAAUAUACUAUGGGCCAGGCCCAGUCUAAGUCUUGUAAUUACAUGAAUGAACUCA
Molecule: long non-coding RNA, 4228 nt
Organism: Equus caballus (horse)
Lineage: Eukaryota; Metazoa; Chordata; Mammalia; Perissodactyla; Equidae
Source: Ensembl